UAAGUUUGAUCAGUUGAUAUAAAAAUAAGAGAUAUCAAAUCGAAUUUAGCUCUGUUCCUUUUGAUUUCACACUUUCUUAUUGACUUCAAUUCACAACUUCAAGAUGAACUCACGAAUCGCUAUUUUCUUGUUUUUCAUUUUUGCUACAUUAGCUAUUUCUGCUACGUUUGCUGAAAUUCAAGUGUUACACAGCUUAAGUGAAGUGGGUUUACCCCCUGCAACUGAAAGACGAGUCAAGGAUAUCAUACACGUGAUUCAAAUGGCAUAUGGAUAACUCUGAUUGUGCGUUAUGAAACAAGAAUCAAGAUAUGAAAACAAUAAAUGAAGUCGAUAAGAAGAUGUUCCACAAAUUGUAUAAUUAUACUAAACUUUAAUAAUUUGCUAAUAAAUUGAAUUUUGAUCUUUA
This is a long non-coding RNA of Parasteatoda tepidariorum (common house spider), 406 nucleotides long. RefSeq lists it as uncharacterized. NCBI's taxonomy places the organism in Eukaryota, Metazoa, Arthropoda, Arachnida, Araneae, Theridiidae. The record is from RefSeq and is a predicted model, not a curated record.